RNAcentral lists this long non-coding RNA (1069 nucleotides) under Androctonus crassicauda. The record is from RNAcentral. Lineage: Eukaryota; Metazoa; Arthropoda; Arachnida; Scorpiones; Buthidae.
CCUGAAGAUGGUAAAAAAUUGUUUACCGAAAGCGUUAGCCUUAAUAAAGUGUAAAAAAGCCACAACUGCUGUGUGUGUUUAGUUCUAUAGAAACUAUAGUUAUGAUUAUCUUCACUUACAAGGAGCAGGGUGAGAUAUGAAUGCAAGAAUUAUAGAAAUAUAAGUCUUCUGAAUGUAAUUGGGAGGAUAUUUAUAAGAUUGUAAUUGAAAUUAUUGAUAUGUAUUUUGUGAUAUAUGGUACAUUCAGUGUUGUUUUUAAGAAUGGAAGAGAAUGUAUGAACCAGAUUAUUUCAAUACUACAAUUUUGGAGAAAUAUCUCUGCAUAAAAAAGUAUUCUAACUUCUUUCUUUUUCAAAGAUAUAUUCCUAUAAUUCUUGCACUUGCAUCUCUCACUCUUAUCCUUAUAGUUACAAAUAUCUGUUCAUUUCUGACUCUCAAAAAGAUUUAUGACUGGAUGAAUAAAAGUAAAUGGUGGAAAAUGCUUGGUAGUAUGGAAUGAAUGAAUGGCUGUUUGAACCUGAGAAAGCAGUGUAUGCUAACAAUUUUUGUGUAUGAAAGUGAAUAAAAACAUAUCAAAUUGAUUUAUGAUCAAGAAAUAGGAGAAGCAAAAAUAUGCAAUGCUUCAGUGAUUAUUUAAUGCAUAUAUGAAUUGUGAGUGAAGAAAUUACUGUGAAUGAUUUUGGGUAUGAAGAUGGAUGAAGAAAGAGUCUACUAUGUGCUGCUGAAGUUAUUUUCCUUUCUGAAUGUAAAUGAAGUCAAAGAUUUAUUGAGCCUCUUUUCAUUCGUAAAGAAUAUGUAGGAGUUAUGAACAAAGUCUGAGGAUGCUUGCUGCAAGGUUGAAUGAUGCAUUCCAGAAGAAAUGGUUGAGAAUAAAUGUGAUGAAUAUAAAAAUGUUUGUGUUUAAAAGGGAUGAGAAUUGAACUGAAAUGGGAAUACUUUUAAACAUUGUGUAUGUUAUAAUUAGGGAUAGUGAAUUUUUGCAAUAGCAAUAAAAUGCAAAAUGACAUAUAUUUUCAUAUUUUCAUUUAAAAAAUUCAAUAAAAAAUUAAUUAAUAAUGGAUUAAUCAAU